Molecule: transfer RNA, 63 nt
Filed under: Cleroidea sp. 4 KM-2017
Lineage: Eukaryota; Metazoa; Arthropoda; Insecta; Coleoptera
Description: tRNA-Phe
Source: RNAcentral
ACUUAAAUAGCUUAUAAAGAGUAUGAUAUUGAAGAUAUCAAGGAAAUCAAUGAUUUUUAAGUA